AGAGUUUGAUAAUGGCUCAGGAUGAACGCUAGCUACAGGCUUAACACAUGCAAGUCGAGGGGAAACGGACAUCGAAAGACUUGCUUUGUAUGGCGUCGACCGGCGCACGGGUGAGUAACGCGUAUCCAACCUGCCCACCACUUGGGGAUAACCUUGCGAAAGUAAGACUAAUACCCAAUGAUAUCUCUAGAAGACAUCUGAAAGAGAUUAAAGAUUUAUCGGUGAUGGAUGGGGAUGCGUCUGAUUAGCUUGUUGGCGGGGUAACGGCCCACCAAGGCGACGAUCAGUAGGGGUUCUGAGAGGAAGGUCCCCCACAUUGGAACUGAGACACGGUCCAAACUCCUACGGGAGGCAGCA
This 357-nucleotide ribosomal RNA is filed under the name uncultured bacterium. Its description in RNAcentral is "bacterial SSU rRNA". It matches the Rfam family "Bacterial small subunit ribosomal RNA", at positions 8 to 353 of the family's 1533-position model. The record is from RNAcentral.